UACGAAGCAAGUUAGAGGUGAUUCGAAAAGAUGAAAAAGCCCUUUUGAAAAAGAGGGUUAAACCAGCCCCGUGAAAUUUGUUAAAAGGGGAAGCGGCUUGUGACCAAGACUUGCGCCCCGGUGAAUCCCCCCAGCUUUUCGCGGCUGGGGCCCUUUGCCGGUUCAGGCCAGCAUCAGCUUGCCGUCGGGGACAAAAGCUUCGGGAACGUAGCUCUCUUCGGGGAGUGUUAUAGCCCGCUGCACAAUACCCUUGGGCGGGCUGAGGUACGCGCUCCGCAAGGAUGCUGGCGUAAUGGUCAUCAGCGACCCGUCUUGAAACACGGACCAAGGAGUCAACCUUAUGUGCGAGUGUUCGGGUGUCAAACCCCUACGCGAAAUGAAAGUGAACGCAGGUGAGAGCUUCGGCGCAUCAUCGACCGAUCCUGAUGUUCUUGGAUGGAUUUGAGUAAGAGCAUAUAGGGUUGGACCCGAAAGAAGGUGAACUAUGCGUGUAUAGGGUGAAGCCAGAGGAAACUCUGGUGGAGGCUCGCAGCGGUUCUGACGUGCAAAUCGAUCGUCAAAUAUGCGCAUGGGGGCGAAAGACUAAUCGAACCUUCUAGUAGCUGGUUUCCGCCGAAGUUUCCCUCAGGAUAGCAGUGUUGAACUCAGUUUUAUGAGGUAAAGCGAAUGAUUAGGGACUCGGGGGCGCUAUAUUGCCUUCAUCCAUUCUCAAACUUUAAAUAUGUAAGAAGCCCUUGUUACUUAGCUGAACGUGGGCAUUCGAAUGUAUCAACACUAGUGGGCCAUUUUUGGUAAGCAGAACUGGCGAUGCGGGAUGAACCGAACGCGAGGUUAAGGUGCCAGAGUAGACGCUCAUCAGACACCACAAAAGGUGUUAGUACAUCUUGACAGCAGGACGGUGGCCAUGGAAGUCGGAAUCCGCUAAGGACUGUGUAACAACUCACCUGCCGAAUGUACUAGCCCUGAAAAUGGAUGGCGCUCAAGCGUCUCACCCAUACCUCGCCCUCAGCGUAGAAACGAUGCGCUGAGGAGUAGGCGGACGUGGAGGUCAGUGACGAAGCCUAGGGCGGAGCC
Molecule: ribosomal RNA, 1074 nt
Filed under: Colletotrichum sp.
Lineage: Eukaryota; Fungi; Ascomycota; Sordariomycetes; Glomerellales; Glomerellaceae
Description: partial large subunit ribosomal RNA
Rfam family: Eukaryotic large subunit ribosomal RNA
Source: RNAcentral